GACAGCAGCCGCCGCGGUAAUACGAAGGGGGCUAGCGUUGUUCGGAUUUACUGGGCGUAAAGGGCGCGUAGGCGGACUGAUAAGUCAGGGGUGAAAUCCCAAGGCUCAACCUUGAAACUGCCUUUGAUACUGUUUGUCUUGAGUUCGAGAGAGGUAAGUGGAACUGCGAGUGUAGAGGUGAAAUUCGUAGAUAUUCGCAAGAACACCAGUGGCGAAGGCGGCUUACUGGCUCGAAACUGACGCUGAGGCGCGAAAGCGUGGGGAGCAAACAGGAUUAGAUACCCCUGUAGUCCCUGUCUCUUAUAA
This 306-nucleotide ribosomal RNA is filed under the name uncultured bacterium. RNAcentral describes it as "partial 16S ribosomal RNA". It matches the Rfam family "Bacterial small subunit ribosomal RNA", at positions 507 to 809 of the family's 1533-position model. The record is from RNAcentral.